CCUACGGGUGGCAGCAGUGAGGAAUAUUGGUCAAUGGCCGGAAGGCUGAACCAGCCAUGCCGCGUGAAGGUCAGUGCCCUGUGGGCGUUAAACUUCUUUUGUGCGGGAGCAAUAAUGGUCACGUGUGGCCAGACGAGAGUACCGUACGAAUAAGCAUCGGCUAACUCCGUGCCAGAAGCCGCGGUAAUACGGGGGAUGCAAGCGUUAACCGGAUUUAAUGGGUUUAAAGGGUGCGUAGGCUGUGAGGUAAGUCAGCGGUGAAAUGCCCCCGCUCAACGGGGUGAAGUGCCAUUGAUACUGCCUUGCUGGAAUGCGGAUGCCGUGGGAGGAAUGUGUGGUGUAGCGGUGAAAUGCAUAGAUAUCACACAGAACACCGAUUGCGAAGGCAUCUCACAAAUCCGCGAUUGACGCUGAUGCACGAAAGCGUGGGUAUCAAACAGGAUUAGAUACCCGAGUAGUC
Molecule: ribosomal RNA, 460 nt
Filed under: uncultured bacterium
Lineage: Bacteria
Description: partial 16S ribosomal RNA
Rfam family: Bacterial small subunit ribosomal RNA
Source: RNAcentral